AUUGAACGCUGGCGGCAGGCCUAACACAUGCAAGUCGAGCGGAUGAAGGGAGCUUGCUCCUGGAUUCAGCGGCGGACGGGUGAGUAAUGCCUAGGAAUCUGCCUGGUAGUGGGGGAUAACGUCCGGAAACGGGCGCUAAUACCGCAUACGUCCUGAGGGAGAAAGUGGGGGAUCUUCGGACCUCACGCUAUCAGAUGAGCCUAGGUCGGAUUAGCUAGUUGGUGGGGUGAAGGCCUACCAAGGCGACGAUCCGUAACUGGUCUGAGAGGAUGAUCAGUCACACUGGAACUGAGACACGGUCCAGACUCCUACGGGAGGCAGCAGUGGGGAAUAUUGGACAAUGGGCGAAAGCCUGAUCCAGCCAUGCCGCGUGUGUGAAGAAGGUCUUCGGAUUGUAAAGCACUUUAAGUUGGGAGGAAGGGCAGUAAGUUAAUACCUUGCUGUUUUGACGUUACCAACAGAAUAAGCGCCGGCUAACUUCGUG
RNAcentral lists this ribosomal RNA (484 nucleotides) under uncultured bacterium. Its description in RNAcentral is "partial 16S ribosomal RNA". It matches the Rfam family "Bacterial small subunit ribosomal RNA", at positions 30 to 507 of the family's 1533-position model. The record is from RNAcentral.